Molecule: long non-coding RNA, 239 nt
Filed under: Elaeis guineensis (African oil palm)
Lineage: Eukaryota; Viridiplantae; Streptophyta; Magnoliopsida; Arecales; Arecaceae
Description: long non-coding RNA (EGUI_LNC032772)
Source: RNAcentral
CUUGAGCCAAACUAACCAACCAGAUAUGCCACAUUAACUUAAUUUGAUCUAGCUAUCUACCAAAACUAGGGAUGGCAGUGAGUCAGGCAUAGAUAGAGUAGGCUCAUACUUGUAUCUACCUGACAAGUAAAUCUCAUUUCUAUAUCUGUGUCAUAUCCGUCUCGGAUUGGAUCAAAUAGAGAUGCGGAUUGGAUCGGGUAUGGAUGAAUAAAAAGGGUUAGAUUGAAUCGAAUCGGGGC